CGCGGCCUAUCAGCUUGUUGGUGGGGUAGUGGCCUACCAAGGCGACGACGGGUAGCCGGCCUGAGAGGGUGACCGGCCACACUGGGACUGAGACACGGCCCAGACUCCUACGGGAGGCAGCAGUGGGGAAUAUUGCGCAAUGGGCGGAAGCCUGACGCAGCGACGCCGCGUGGGGGAUGACGGCCUUCGGGUUGUAAACCUCUUUCAGCAGGGACGAAGCGGAAGUGACGGUACCUGCAGAAGAAGCACCGGCCAACUACGUGCCAGCAGCCGCGGUAAUACGUAGGGUGCAAGCGUUGUCCGGAAUUAUUGGGCGUAAAGAGCUCGUAGGCGGUUGGUCGCGUCGGCUGUGAAAACCCGGAGCUCAACUCCGGGCCUGCAGUCGAUACGGGCCGACUUGAGUGUUGCAGGGGAGACUGGAAUUCCUGGUGUAGCGGUGAAAUGCGCAGAUAUCAGGAGGAACACCGGUGGCGAAGGCGGGUCUCUGGGCAACAACUGACGCUGAGGAGCGAAAGCGUGGGGAGCGAACAGGAUUAGAUACCCUGGUAGUCCACGCCGUAAACGUUGGGCGCUAGGUGUGGGGGCCAUUCCACGGUCUCCGUGCCGCAGCUAACGCAUUAAGCGCCCCGCCUGGGGAGUACGG
Molecule: ribosomal RNA, 643 nt
Filed under: uncultured bacterium
Lineage: Bacteria
Description: bacterial SSU rRNA
Rfam family: Bacterial small subunit ribosomal RNA
Source: RNAcentral